CCAAUAUAGCCGUCCCCGUCGUUCUUUUUUUGGUUGCAAAUAAGCACUUCUCUUACUACCUUCAGUGCCAACAACUCCAACACUAAGAUUCACUGGAUAAUAGUUAAACCCAUAAACCUUAUUUGCUUAGAAAACAAGGUAAACCUUGUAGUGCGUCAUGGGUGAAAGCAUGGAGAUACUAAUCUUUCCACGGAUUUCAAACCAGCAAACGCUCAGAAGCUCUGCUACCUCGUCAAACCUAUUUUAACAACAAUAGAAAAUGAAUUGCCAAAGAGAAGUUCUCUUAUUCAAACACAGGUAUCCAUCAAAGAUGAAUACGCAAGUAUUUUCUCUUAAAAGAUUUUCAAUUAUUUUGAAUUUAAAAGAUGGAUAAGCAUCCUAUUGUUAUCAUUUAGACCCAACCAGCAUGGCAAGGAGGAGAGAAUAACCUGGCCUCGGGUAUAGACACCCAUCUCCAAUAAUCUGGGGUGUCACUCCAUAUAAUGGAGAGGUCCCUGGGUGACAGCAUGUAACAUUUCUUCCCACUCACUCUGUCCAGCCAAAAACUCUGUUUCAUCAAUACCAACUAAGUUAUAUGUAACGAACAAAAGAAUUAAAAAUAGAUAUAAACAACAUAGGAAUUGUUAAGAAAAAGAUUCAAGCAACAAUGGCAUAGUUCAUAAUUAAUAUGUCAAAAGCUUCUCCAAAGUACUUUCUAAGCUUCUUACUUCUGUUAGUUGCCUUUUUUUUUUUUUCUUUUUGGUGAAUCUAGUAAAUUCCGAACAACAAACACGAUUAGAUAAAAUCAGACAUAUAAGGGAAAUAUUAGACAAAAUUUCCAUAUAAAUUAAAAUAAUAUAUCUUAAUAAUUCAAUUAUUUAAAUUUGUUCUCGUUUUAUCCCAAUACAGUUUUUGCCUUCAAAAAUCAAAAGAAAAAAGAAAAAGAAUAACCAGAUAAAAUUCCUUGCUGCUUUUUUCCCAUGUAAGGGAAACAAGCCAUAUCCAGAUUAAAGGAAAAUAAUAUUUCAAGAACUUAAAAUUCAAAAUAAUAAUAUGAUUGGACAAAACAACAUGUGAUAUUAAUAGGAUUACAAUGAUUUUGCUUUCAGAAAAUGAAGCAUCCAAAAGCUAAAUAUGACUCUUUAGAUUUUCAGAUUUUUAACCUGUAAACCCUAAAUGGACAUUAAAUUAUAUAACAAUGCUAGGGAAAUUUUUAUUACAACUUGAAAGAGAAAGGAUGAAAUUACCUUUCGUCCAGCUUCAAUGAGAAGGGGAUUUUCACAGAGGCUAAGAUAAAGUUGUUUCUUGGACGAGAAAGAGAGCGAUGAGGGAAUUAAUGCCUGGAAUUGGGAUGGCAAGAAGCUUUCCCAAACAGCAUCGGAUUCAGUAGCCGAAUUUAAAGCAGUUGAAACAAGCGACAAUCUACAGGCAUCUCGAGGGGAGGUAAAGGAAAUAAUGAGGGUGAUACAAUCUAGUGGGAGAGCACUCAGGUCGAGAGUGCCGCUCAUAACCUCUCCUUUUCCUUUUCUUUCUUCCAUUUCAGAAACCUCGGUUUUCAUAUCAGAAAAAUCGAUUUGUAGUAAGCGAGAUACCAAGUAUACAUAAACGUAGAAAAAUAGGGAAUGGGAAAGCACUGAGCUUAGCGAUUAAGUCAUUGACUUGACCAAAGUCAGUUAAGUUGAAUUUUUAAAAUGUAUCAUCUUACCCAUUAUUUUAUUAAAAUAUAAAAAAUAAAAAUAUUCUCGUAUUAAUAUUUUCUUCUUUGUAAAAAAAUAAUGUCAAUCAAUGAUGGCUCUAGAUGAGUGGUGCGUUUAUCUGUGUUUAGUGUAAAAAUAGCGAUGAUGAUAAGAUUAAAUACUAUAACGAAAUUGUAACACAAGACAGAAAAAAAUAAGCGAAACGCAUUGCACCGCCCAUCCAAACCUAUCCUAAGCUGAUUUUGGUUGAUGCAUGAUACAACUCAAUCAAAUGCUUAAUACAUGACAAGUGUUAGUGCAAUGAUAAGGCACAUUAUAUUUUUUAUAAGAGAACGAAAAUUUAAACCUUGAGAUGACAUUGUUGAGAGAGAUAACUAUAAACAGUACUGAAUAAGAAAAACUGAAAAACGAUUCAAAUUGAGGUAUUUGGACGUUUUGUAACGCCCCCUUACCCGAGACCGUCGCCGGAGUCGAACACGAGGCAUUACUAAACUUAUUUGAGCACUAAAACAAAUUCAGACAAUUUAUAUCAUACUUUCCAGACAAGCUGUCUAACUGCGUCAUAGUCGCAAAAAAAAUCAUAUCUUGAGUUACAAAACUCGAAAUCCAAAUUCGUAAAUUUUCGCCGAAUCUAGACUCAUAUAUCUAGUUACUAAUUUUUUUCUAGAAUUUUUGGUUGGGCCAAUUAGUACAGUUUAUUAGUUGAAGUCUCCCAUGUUUCAGGGUUCAGCUACUCUGACCCCUGUGAACUACGAACCAAAUUUCUCCCUGUACAAAAUUCAAAUAACCAAGCCGUUUGUUUCUAUUAAAAAUAGACUCAAUAAGGAAUCCAUACAUAUACAGUGUGACUCCUAAUUAUUUUUGUACAAUUUUUAAUGAUUUUUACAAAUCAGAAUAGGGGAGCUCAAAAUCACUCUGACCUUAUCUCACAAAAAUUCAAAUAUCUCCUGAUAUGAAAGUCUUUUUCUUACACCGUUUGUUCUAUGUUAAACUAGAUUCAAUAAGCUUUAAUUUCAUAUUUUAUUCAACCUCUAAUUAUAUUUUCAUAAUUUAUGGUGAUGUCGAAACCAUCCCUCUAAUUUUAAGUUUAAUAGAAAAAAUGGGGAAUCGACUGUUUGAAAAACAAAUACAUGGAGUCGCCACCGAUCUUUUGUUUUGGUGUGAUCAGAUUACCUAAAAAUGAGGUUAGUUUAAUAAAACAUUUUUGGUUUAUUAAGGCAACGAUUUUGGUCUACGAACUUUUGAGAAAAACGGGUUCGGGAGUCAGUUACGUAUGAGGAAGGAUUAGCACCCUCACUACGCCCAAAAUUGGUACCGAAUCGAUUAAAUACUGUCUUUAUGUCUAAAAUUAAAAAGUUUUUGAAAUGUGGUUCUUUUUUAUAACGUUUGAAUAACCCGAGUUGGUUGCCAAAAUCUUCUUGUUUCGAUGUCCGAAAGUUUAUAAUUCGAGAAUUACAAAAGGAUGCUCAACUAUUUAGUCUAACGAAAAAUCGAAACCCAGCACAGUAGGGUACGAUUCCCCGAAUUUCCAAACAUUGACCAUUGCCUUACCUUAUAAAAUACGUGUGAAAUUCCGAGGAGAUAUUCGAUUAUUUUGGACAAAUGAAAAAGCGCAACCCAGCACGAUAGGGCUCGAUUCUCAAAUCGCCCAAACAUCGAACAUCGUCUUCAUUUUGAAAGAUUUUAGAAAAUGUGAGUGAAAUUCCGAAGGGAUCUUCAAUUGUUUCGGAAUUUGAAAAAGUGCAACCCAGCACGGUAGGGCACGAUUCUCAAAUCGCCAAACAUUGAACCUCGUCUUCGUUUUUAAGUAUUUUUUUUUUAAACAUGAGUGAGAAUAUAAAGGAAUGUUCGAUCGUUUUGAGCAAACGAGAAAUCACAACCCAGCACGAUAGGGCAUGGUUCUCGAAUUAUCAAACGUCGAAUAUUGCCUUUGUUUUAAAGGAUUUUUAGAAGACAUGAGUGAAAUUUCGAAGGAAUAUUUGAUUAUUUUGAGCAAACGAGAAAUUGCAACCCAACACGUCAGGGCACGAUUCCGCGAAUUGCCAAAUAUCAAACUUUACCUUCAUUUUAAAGAAUUUUUUUUAAAGGCAUGGGUGAAAUUUUGAAGGGAUAUUCGAUUAUUUUAAGCAAACGCGAAAUUGCAACCCUUAUUUUAAGCAAACGCGAAAUUGCAACCCAACACAUUAGGGCACGAUUCUGCGAAUUGCCAAACAUCAAAUCUCGUCUUCGUUUUCAAGAAUUUUUGAAUGAAUAAUUAUAAAGCUAGCUUAAGACGUAUUAAUUCGAUUUGAAAUAAGACGAAACUAAUCAUAAAAUUCAAUUUUUAUAGAAAAACCACAUUUCAAAAAAGAACAAGAUGGAAAACGAUGAUAUAAGGUAAUAGGCAUAUACGAGGUGUGAUCAACUAACAUACUAAUAAUUAAACGGGACUAAUCUAAAAAGGUAAUGCGAUUGCAAUAAUGCAUGGAGAGUAGUUGAUGUGAUGACAUAUAAAAAUGCGCAAACACGACGUAGCAAAUAUACAAGAAGUAUCGUGAAGAUAAUUAACACAUGAGAUACCAACGAUAUAGAACCAACACGACACAAAAAUAAUGGACUAAAAAUGAUGGACUAACAAUCAAUUAAUAUAUGUUAGAAUUUGAAAUAAUUUAUAAAAGAAAAAAUUAAGAAUGUGUAUAUACGUAUGAGUGAAUUUUGAAGCAACUAUAUACAAAACAACAUGGAAUUAACAAAUAUGAAUUAUAUAUAAAGAAAAAUGGAUUGAUUUUAUCACAAAUUAUAUAUAUGUAUGAAAAUAAACUAGAAAUAAUUGCUUGUAAAAAACAUAGAAACGUACUCAAGACUGAAUUAUUUUUAUUAUAAAUUAUGAUGGACUUAUAAGCACGCUUAUGUAUAAAGAAAACUAUAUAUAUAUAAAAUUUAGGUUUGAUAAUGUAUGUAAAUCAAAAACAUGUACUAAUGUAAAUGAAUAUAAAAUAACUUAAAUUUUAUGUAAAACAUAUAUACAAAGCAUAUUUGAAUAGCAAGAAUAUGUAUUAAAAUACAUGAUCAGAUAUAUUUAGGAAAUAAGUGGUAAAUAAAAUGAAUAAUGGUUCAAGGUAGAUAUAUAUAUACAUAUAUAAGUACAAGAUACAUAAUACGAAAGAAGAAACUUAAAGUGGAUAAUAAAUAAAAUAUUUUAAAGUAAAUAAAUAAAGUUUAAGGAUAUACUUAAAAUAAAAUAUAAAUAGUUUAAAAUAUAAUUCAUGAAAGGAAAUAUGAAAUAGAACAUUGUAUACAUAAAAAGAUUUAUAUAUGAAUAAUAUAUAUAAAAACGUUAAAAAUAGAUAAUGUUAAUAUAUACAUAAAAGUUUAAAACAAUAAUAUUCAAAUAAUAAAACUCACACCAAAUAAUGAAACAAUUUUUUAAAAUAUAUAUAUGCACAUAAAAAAAUAUUUAAAACAAAAUGUAUAUAAAACUAUUCAAAAUGAGUAACAUGAAACAAUUUAAUAUAAAGUUUAAAAUAACUAAAAUGGUUUGAAAUAAACAAAAAGGUUUAUAUCACAUGAACAAAGGCUUGAUCGAAAUUAAACUAAAACAAUAGGGGAAAAUUGAGAAAAUAGAACAAAUAACAAGGGGGACCAAUGUGCGAGGCGCGAUAAUGCAGAAGGAUCUAAACUGGAAAUAUACCAGUCCUCACACCGCAGCAUUAAGACGCGGACUAAAGUGCAAAUAUGUAUAAAUUAUAGGGCAGAUUAAAAAAUAGAGGAAACUGGAUUCGGUCUAAUUAAGCACCAGUGCAAAAGGAAGGGACUAAACGUGAAAUAAUCCCCUCUAUGCGAGAGCAUACGGGUCUUAGGGUGGAGAAACGGGUCGGGUUAGGCGUGGCUAUACGACACCAUUUGGAGAGCCAUUAGGCAGGGCCUAAAACGAUGCCGUUUGAGGUUGUAUAAAAGGGCUAAAUCGGUAGCUUUGGCCGAACCUAAACCCUAGCAUCAUUUCUUUUCUCCUCAACAGCCCCUAAACCUCUUUUCUCCAAUGCCAAGCCGCCACCACGUCGAUGACCGGCAUCCUCAGGCUAUGUGCGAAUGCUUUGUGGCCUUGAGGUUCCCCUUAAGUCUCCGAUUUUGGCGAAGCAAAGGAGAACCGAUGGCCUAUUUUCCAAGUAAGGUUUCGUUUCCUUUUUCUUUUAUUUAGAUGUAAAGAACGCAAAAGAAAAUCAAAAAGGCAAAUCGAAAGAGAAAAGAGCGUGAUAAACCCAGAGAUUCAAAGCAAAAAAUCACCUUGUUCUAUUUUUUCUUUCUAUUCCUUCUGAAUGCGCGUGUAAAAAAAUACAGGGAUUUGGGGCUCGACUUUAUAGCCGGAAGAAAAUGAAAAUAAAAAAAAACCAAAGUCAGAAACACAAUUUGUUUCUAUUUGCUGCUGUUGUUUUUUUUUUUGUAUUUGCAGGUACGGAUGCUGCUGUUGGCAUCUGUACGGGGGUGCGGGCGUGGUGUACAAAGGCUGUGGCGUGGCUGCUGGACGUUGGAGCGUACGGAGGCCUAGAGUGGCUAGGCUGCUAGUAAGGGCUGCGGUGCAAGGGAACCCUUGCCCUAGGGUUUGCUAACAUUGGGCUCGUUUUUUAUAUUGGGCAUAUUGGGCCUGUACUUGGGUCCUGGGUUUUAAAAAUUGGGUCAAUAAACUGUUAAUAUUGGUUGUAAUAUUUGGACUUUUAUGAUAGACCAUUAGUCUGGUAUUAUUCUUUGGACUUUUGGUUUAAUAACUUGGUAUUUAUUUUGGGCUUUAGCUCUAACGUGGGCCCAGGCAAAUUGGCCCAUUUACAGGUGAAUUUUCAAAGUCAAACUACCGCUACUAACCAAAAACUGUUUUAGUACAAAAAUGUUGUUAACUAGUUUGUAACAUAUUUACUUCAUUUCAUUUAAACUCUAUACAUGCCACAUAAAUCUUUAAACAUAAAACAAAAACUACCGGAAUUGAUCUGGAUAGUGUGCCUUGUUGUGUUGAUCCGAUCUACCCACUUCACUUCAAUUCAAUCUACAUAAAUAUAUUAAACACACACAAGUAAGCUUAUUGAAGCUUAGUAAGUUCAUAGGUUUAAAAGUAAUGCUUACCAAACAUAAAAUUUCCAAACAAUACCAAAACAUUUACUAAAGUUUCUUGUCAUUCACAACCACUGUUAUAAUAAUUCACAUAGUUGAGCUCAACAGUAACAACUACUCAAUCUCUUUCAUUUGGAUCACUUCUCUUGUAUUUCUUAUUAUCAAAUUAGGAAACGGCUUACGAAAUUGAGUACGCCGUUGUUCAGUGCCACGAUUCAUAACUCAGUAUGGUUUUCCUCAUUGAAAUACCAUACCUACAUUUUACAACUCGGUAUGGGAAAUGCGAUACCUACAUUUCUUAACUCAGUAUGGAUUUGAUAAUACCAUACCUACAUAUCACAACUCAGUAUGGAUGAUACCAUACCUACAUUUCACAACUCAGUAUGGAUGAUACCAUACCUACAUUUCACACUUUGCCAUGGAACAACCAUGGUCUUAUCCGUCAAUUCAUCACAUGUCACGAUACGAACGUACUCAAUCCUGCGUUUUUCCUAAUUUGCAUUUCCACAUUUAUUCUUUCAUUAACAAAAUUUACAUAAUCCCACAACAAAUUCAUAUAUAAUAACACAUUAUAUACUUCAAUCAUUCACAAAUAAACAUCUAAAUUCAACCAUAUGAACUUACCUGGCUAAUUUGUAGAAGAUAUUGAAAUUUAGGGACUAUUCUGCAACUUUUUCUUUUCCUCGUUCUUCUUUGGAUUCUUGAUCUAUAAUAUAAAAUAUUUCUACUCAUUAGCAUUUAUUUGAUUUCUAUUUCACUUCACAAUUUAUGCUGUUCAAAUUUCAAAAUUUCACUUUUACCCCAAAAUUUAUAGUUUUUACAAUUUAGUCCCAGCUCAAUUCACCCAUCAAUUGAACUAAUUUUUCUCAAUUAACACUUUAUUUUAUCAUUAUAAACUAUUUCAAAACCUUUUAUAUUCUGAAUUUCAACAGCAACCUUCAAUUCACAACUUUUUCACAAUUAGGUCCUAAAUAUCAUUUCCUAUCAAAAUCUCUUAAUAAAACCACCUUAAUAUGAAAUGAGAACUUAAAUUUCGUAAUAAUUCAUUAUAAAAUUCCCUUAUCCAUCCAGGGUAACUUCCAAUUUCACCCAUAAAAUUAAAAACUAAUGAAUUCUAUAAGUGGACCUAAUUGUAAAAGUCAUAAAAACAUAAAACUUAUCAAGAAAAAGCAAGAAUUAAACUCACAUGAUGUAAAAAUAUGAAAAACCAGCUUUCUCCAGACCUUCUAUGGCGUUUUGGCUGAGAAAAUAUGAAGAGAUCUCUAGAUUCUUCAAUUUUGUCCUUAUUUUAUAUGUUGAAAUUGUAAAAUUUCCAAUUUUACCCUUAUUUCCCUUAUUUUUCUGCAGAUUUUCUUGCCCUUGCCGUCCAGCCUAUUCACUUUUAGGCUUAAUUGCCCUUUAAAUCCUCUUUAUUUUAACACUUGAGCUAUUUAAUACUUCUAGCAAAUUUUGCAUUUAUUACAAUUUAGUUCUUUUUAUUCAAUUGACUACCCAAUCGUUAAAAUUUCUCAACCAAACUUUAAUACUAGCUAAAUGACACUUCAUAAAUAUUUAUAAAAAUAUUUAUAGCUCAAUUUCAAAUUCGAGGUCUCGAUACCUCGUUUUUGACCCGUUUGACCUAAUAAAUUCUUUUAAUUCACCAAUUUCACCAUUUCACAAAUUCUUCUAAAUUCUUACUUGACUCAUAAAUAUUAAAUUACUAUCUUGUUCAAUCUUAUUUGUCGGAUUUAGUGAUCUCAAAUCACCAUUUUCGACACCACUGAAAAUUAGGUCGUUACACGUUUUAUGAAAUGCAAAUUUAAAAAUCUCGAUUACUCGAAACCAAAUCGAAUUUAAUUUUUUUAAUUUUUUUAUAAUAUAAAAAAAUAUUUUAUAUUUAAAAUAGUAAAAAAAUUAAAAGAUCUUGAAAAAUUAUUGUAUUUUAAAAAUAUUUAUAAUUUUUUAAAAAUUUUAUCAACUAAUAUAAAAAAAUCAUAAAAUAAAAUUUAUUUUAUAAAAAUAAAUUUAAAAUUAAAAAAUUUAUAAACAACUAAAAUAAAAUCAAUUAAAUCCCUAAAAAAUGCAUUAAAAUUAUUUUAUAUUAAUAGUAUUGAAUGUUUUUAGAAUUUGUUUAAUUUAUAAUUCAUUUUGUACCGCUUAUUUUUUCAGUGGUGGUGGUUUUGGAACUCUAUUUUUUAUUUUUGAGUCCUUAAAUAUUAUUAUUUAAUAUUGUAAAGAUUAAUUAAAGUUUGGUCCUUUAAUUUUGUCAAAUGGAUAGUUAAUUAAGGUAUAAGGAGUAAAUUAUUAAAGUUGUAAAAGCUUAUCGCUAUGGAUAUUUCAAUAGCCGAAGGACCAAAUGAGGAAUUUGCCCCUUUUUAAUGUGACAAUCGGUGGUGGAUAUUUGUUGGAAUCUACCAAAAUUGUUAAUUAUGUUUAACAUUAACUUAAUUAAGAUUUGAUUAGUUAAUUAUGUUUAAUGAAAAGUUAAGAAAGUAUAAAAGACAAAAGUUAAAGAAAAACAAUACAUUUUCUUCUUCUUCUUCUUCUUAUUCUUCUUCUUCUUCUUCUUCUUCUUCUUCUUCUUCUUCUUCUUCUUCUUCUACUUCUUCUUCAUGACCAAAAGAGAAAAAAAUGGGGUUUGGGAAGGUUAACUUUUGAUUAUUAAUAGGUGAGUUCAAUGUAAUCAUUUUCUUAUAAUUUUUAUGUUUUUGAGGUAGGAGGAGCUUGAUUUAGCUAGCUCAUGUACCAAUUUGCAAAACUGUUAAAGUUUAUAAAAGUUUCUAUUGAUAAAUUCUUGAAGCAAUUGAUAUUAAAUUGUUAGAUUUUAAGCUUACAAGUUAAAGAUUAGAUUGUAAAGUAUAAUUGCUAGCUAUUGAACAUAAGAACUAAAGUGUAUAGAUUUCGAAAUUGAUGUGAUUUUUUUGUAAUUAUAGAUAAAAUAGGUUAUAGAAGGAUAUAAUUGAGAUCGAUUUCGAAAUCGAAGCUCAAAUUUGAAAGAUAUUACAAUUUCAAUUUUAGGGGCUAAAUUGAAUAAAAUGUAAAAUUUUAGAGACAUCUGAAAAAUGAAAUUGGAUCGGUUCAUGCAUUUAGUAGGAUACUAUAAACUCGAUCUUUUUCUUGGGUUUAGAUUUUACUCGAAUUUGGAUUUUUUUGAGCUUAGAUCAUCAUAGGCUCAGAUUUUCUCGAAUACAGAUCGUUACGGUCUUAGAUCAGCACGAGCAGGCUUUCAAGCUCAAGCCUAUUUUCUCAGAUCUACUAAAAUUAUAUGCUUUUUAAAGAUAACUUGACAUCUAUGAGUGUUGAGGUUCUUUAUUUUUUGUGACUAGCCAAGUUUCUCGAGCUCUUCGGGAUUAGGGAGGAGAUUAUGGAAGGAAUCUAGACAUUAAAGUGAACCUGGACACCUUUUAAUGCUCAUAUUCUUUCUCUAAUCCCCUCUCUAAUCUUAACAUGUUGAAAUCAUGAUUUCGUUAAAAUUUAAAUCCAUUUCAAUAUAUUUAGUUGUAACAGCCCAAUUUAGACCCUAGUCGAAACAGUGGUUUCAGGACCACAAAUCUGAGGUCAUAAAAUUAUUUUAAUAUUAUUUUUGGUGUUUAGAACAAGUUAAUUGCUAUGUGUGAAGAUUUCGUGAAGUAAUUUUAGCGUUUGAAUGUGUAAUUAUGAAAAAAGACCUAAUCGCAUAAAAUACAAAAUUUGCAUGCUACUUGUUAAUGGUGUUAUUUGACCUUGGCUUUUAAAGUAGAAGUCCUUGCAUGUCAAAUUGACCAUUGGUAGCGGGAAUGGACAUAAAUAGGCAUGUGUUAGGUAAAUUCAUAAUGAAUUUACUAAGGUUAAUAUAGUAAUUAUACAAAUAAAUGAUGAUAAAAUAAAACAAAAUAUGAAAUGACCAUGCAUGUUCUUAGCUCAGUCGAAUGUUGAAGAGAAAAGAACCAUUUUAAAUCCUUUUAAAUUCGGCACUUUGAAGCUCAAAUUGAGGUAUUAUUUGAGUUCGAUUUUUUAUGAUUUUUAUGUUUUUGAAAUCAUUGCUUAGUAACCUAACUAGCCUAUGCUUUAAUUUUUGAAGGUAUUGAUGUUUAUGAAAGUUGACAUUGAUAAAUUAUGAGCUUUGUGAUGUUAAAUGAUAGAUUAUAAAUAUUUAAUGAUCGGUAUAUAAGUUUUGUUGAGUGAACUUUAGUAAAAAUACCUAUUAUGGACUAAAUUGUGAAAUGUUGAAAAUGUGUGGUUGAAAUAUGAAAUAAAUGUGAGUAUUGGGCUUCUAGGGAGCUAUAUGAAAUUCGGCUAGCAUGAAAUUAGAAUGAAAUUGUGUAAUUUGUGUUUUGAUGAAAUAAGGACUAAAUUGUAAGAAAUGUGAACUUUAGGGGCUAAAGUGAAAAAUGCCCAUUUGUGUGUUUUUGAGUGAAUUUGAAUGAAUAAGAGAUUGAAUAAGUUAAUUUUGAUUAUAAUUAAAUCAAUAGCCAAAGAAAACGGAAUUAGAUCGGGGGAAAUCGAAAAUAAUUGAAUAGUCGUUCGUUUCCAUUCAUUUCGUACGAGGUAAGCUCAUAUGCAAAUAAAUAUCGUUACAUUGAAAUGUUUAUGUUAUUUUCAUAUUGAAUUGCUAUGAAUGUCGAAUGAUUGUAUACGAGCAAGAAUCGACAAAGUUGUGACAUCCGAAAGCCCCGCACGAACCUUAGGAAUAGUAUAGGAUACAAAUGUCAUGACAUUAGGUAUUGAGAUGUGAUUACAUGUAAGACCCUGUGUGAAAUAGUGGCAUUGUACUAUGAUUACGUGUAAGACCAUGUGUGGGACAUUGGCAUCGUUAAUCGAUUUCGUAUAAGACCCUGUGUGGGACAGUGGCAUCGAUACGUGAUAACAUGUAAGACCAUAUCAAGGAUAUGGCAUUGUACGAGCUAUAAGUGAUUACCGAGUAUCCUUAAUAAUUCCAAAUGGUUCAACGGGAAAAUUUAAGUCGGGAAAGAAAGUGUAAGUGAAUCAAGUGACUCAGGUACGUACGAGACUCAUUUGAGUAUUAAAACGAAAAGUAUUGGAUGGAUUCAGUUAUAGAAUUGAAUGUGUAUAUCAUGAAGUAGGUUUGUGAAUUUAUUUUUGCAUUUAUAUGUGCUCAUGUAUAACUUGCUAAAUUGAUGAGAAUAAUAUUGAUGCAUGAGAUGAUUUAUUUGUUUGUAUAUGGCUUACUAAGCUUUUAAAGCUUACUAUGUUUAUUUUUCAUUAUUUUAUAGAUCAUCGAAGCUAACUCGGAUUCGGGGAUCGUCUAGAAGCGUCAUCGCACUAUCAAUCAAUAUUUUGGUACUUUUGAAGUUAUGUAUAUAUUGGUAUAUGGCAUGUAUAGGCUAGUGUCAUAAUGGUAUAUUUUGGCUUGUAAAUGAAGUGUGUUUGUAGUCAUUUUGAUUGGCUUUAAAUGGUGAGUUUGACACAUGUUAUGUGAUGCAUAUAUAAUUUCUAGGUGAUGGUUUAUUUUGGUAAGUGAUUUAGUUGUUGAUUUAAUAGGUCAUGAAGCAUGUUUUAAUUGAUGAUAGGAAUGACAUGAUUUAGACUUGAAUGAGGUUGUUUAAUAGCCAUUUCAUGUUUUGAAAUGUGUCACGUUAAUGGCUAGUGAAUAUGUACUUGUGUGUAUAAAUUGAAGGUGGCAUGUUGGCUUGGAAAAUAGCAUUGAGUUGUCCAUAUGGGUAGACACACGGGCGUGUGUGACACACGGCCUGCACCUUGGGUGUGUGCUCUGGUCGUGUGAAGUCUACACCUUAAUUUUGGAAUUUUAUUUAUCACACGGGCUGAGGACACUGGCGUGUACCUUGGCCAUGUGUCUCUUAUUUGAUUGCGACGUCACAAACAGAAUGCGACCUAGUUUUGGCAAGGCUAAGCACACGGCCUAGACAUGAGAGUGUGUAAGGCACACGGGCUAGACACAUGGACGUGUGCUUCGGCCGUGUGAGGAAGUCAGUAUGUAUGCCCUGUAUCUACACGGUCUGAGACACAGGUGCGUAUCUUAGCCGUGUGAGUGACACGGGUUGGGCACACGGGCGUGUGACCUAUGCAGUGAGGAAAAUAUUUUAAGUUUUGUAAAGUUUUCUCGAGUUAUAAAUUUACUCCCAAACCCCUUUUAAGCAUGUUUUAAGGUACCGUAGAACCUUAUAAGGGACAAUGUGAAUGAAUGUAUAAAAGUUUUAAAUUGUAUGCAAGUUUAUGUUGUGAAAUGUGACUGAAUGAUUCGAUGUAAGUUCGAUAAUGCCUCGUACCCUGUUUCGAGGUUGGUUAUGGGUAAGGGGUGUUACAUUAGUUGUCAAUGUUCAUUUAGAUUUUGGAAAAUCUUAACCCUAGUUGUUAAGUUAAAAAAAAUUACAGAAACUGAAAAUUAAAAUGGACUUUGAUGCCCUUGAGGGUCAAGAUUCAUUUAAAAAUCCUAAUCCUAAAUGAUCUUUUUAACAUAAUAGAAAAUCUUAAAAAAAUUAAAUAGAACUCAACAUUCAAGAGUGUCGAGAUCCAUUUAAAUAGUUUCUCUCGCUUGUUUAUUUCUCAUAGAAAACUAAAAAAAUCCUUUAUAUUAUAAAUUAUCUACAUACUCAUAAAUCUCUAACCCAAAUUUUGAAAUUUUGAUAUUAGAAGAAGGACAUGUGACUCAAUAUGCAACAAUGGAUGAAAAUCAGGUGUCUCGAUGUUACAAUACUAUGAGAAUAGAAGCUCACAAUCUAUCUUGUGAUCACUUACAUGAUUUUGGUUUCUAUCACAUUUAGGGGUAUGACUUUCGUGCUAGCAUUCAUUUCUUCUCUAGUUGUUAAUUUUAUGAUGUUAUCAAAUUCGAGCCUAUGAUGAUUUGAGCUUGAGAAAAUCUGAGCAAAUAUGCUCUCUUUUCCUUUUUUUUCUCAUUUUGAAAAAAAUGGAUGGUAAAAAAAAAAAUCAAAGUUCACUAAAAUUAAAUGUGUGCUCCAUAUUUGACCCCUUUUCAUUAAUCACAUCCAAUGGAUCACAUUCGUCCAAAACAUACUAUAUCUCAUCAAAAUAAUUUUCCAAUAUAGAAUUCAAGUGAAAUGACCAAAAUGCUUUUUAUGGAAAAAUUGAACAACAACCCCUUUUUACCUCUUAUUAGACUUUCUUCACAUCAUAUAGGUACCGAUCAAACUCAAACUUCAUAAAUCACAUUUAAUGUCUAAUAUAAGUCCAUGGGUAGUGGUAAAAAUUACACGUGUAUGCUUUUCAAGUUAAAAAAAUGGUAAAAUCGCAAAUUAGUCCACGUACUUUCAAAUCUUUUCCAAUGUAGUCCAAAAAUGAUUUUCAUCACACCAGUUCAUUUUCCAGGUCAUUCUCUUGUCAAAUAAUCAUUAAUAACUCACAUUUUCUCUUUUCUUCAAAUUUUAUUUUUGGCAAACUUUUUAAAAUUUCAAUUUGGUCCAUUUUUCACUUUCACAAAAUUUCCACUGAUUUCCAUCUCUAAUAUAAAUUUUAUUAUUUUUAUUCGACUCAAUUCCAUAUUCUUCAAAUAUUCACAAAUCACAAUCACGAAUUAGUACCAAAUGUACCGAAAUUUUUGGAGCGUUACAUGUUCAAGUAAUUCUCUCUUUGGAGUUGGAUUAGGUUAAUCAAUUGUUUAUUAUUUGAUUGAAAUGUGAAUUGAGUGAAGGUUAAAUUUCGACUCCACAUUUUUCAUGUUAAGUAAAUAAUUUUAAGUAAUAAUUAAAAUGAUUGUUGUCUAAUAACUAAAUAUAACCUCAAAUAAUUGUAACAAGAAAUAAACGAACUAAUUUAGUUUGUACAAUUUUUGAAAACUAAACUUUGCACAACUUUUUAUUACUACAAGAAUUAACUAUUUAAAAUAUAAAAAAUAUUAGAUUAGCUUUAGUUUAAAUUAAUAAUACAUCGGAUUGAAUUCAAUAUGAAUCAAUUUUAUACCUGUUCUUAGAUUAAUUUACUUAUGAUGUUUAUUGUAGUACACUAAUCCUUUGUAAGUGAAGGAUUAUAUAUGUAUGCCUUAAAUGCUUUGGUACACUAAAAACCUAUGUAUCUCGAAGUAGUAAGCAAAACAUUGGUAUAUUGAGUAUGUAACUUGUACAUGAUGUAGUUUCACUUACAUAUAGUGGAAUCAUAGCUCAUAUAAAGAGUUAAUAAUAUCCUCUCAAUGGCAUUAUAUGGUUUAUGAAAAUAGAAUAUGCACAUGGGUCAUUUAUCUUUGGAAAAUAAUUUAGCAUUCUUUAGAGGUGUUAGAAUUAAGUGACUCGAAUCCUUAUUUAAGUAAAAUACAGUGGUAAAAUAAAAUAAAAGAAGAAUCCAUAUAGAAUUACACUUCUUUUAUUUUAUUUCAGAAUAAAGCUUUUUAAACCUUAUUAAAUUCUAUCUAUUCAAUAUUGAUUAGAAUAAGGUGUUUCAGUCUUACUAGAAUAUGGUUUUACAAGCCUAUAAAUAGACAUAGUCUAUUCCUCUUGUAUUGAUUCAAAUUUUCGACAUAGUAAAUUUUCUUCUCCUCUGCCCGUGGUUUUUCCCGAAAGGGUUUUCACGUAAAAUUUGUGUGUUCUUUAUUUUAUUUUAUUUUUAUUUCUCUUUUUUUUUGCAACAUAUUGUCAUUACCGACAUUAUAUAUUUUCACAAAUUGGUAUCAGAGCUUCCGAGUUAUUCAUCUCGAUCAUGGUAAUUGCAUCUUUGAAGUAUAAAAUUCUGCUAUUGGAUCGCAACACCAGAUUUGCGUUGUGGCAGAUUAAGAUGCAAGUAGUUCUUGUGCAAAUAGAUCUGGAGGAUGCCCUACUAGGGAUAAAUAAGAUGCCUUCGACAUUAACAAAUGAAGAGAAGAAGCGUAAGGAUCGAAAGACAUUAACACAAUUACAUUUGCAUUUGUCCAACGAAAUUUUGCAGGAUAUGAUGAAAAAGAAGACCGCCGCUGCAUUAUGGAAGAUGCUAGAAUAAUUAUGUAUGUCGAAAACUCUAACAAGCAAGUUGCAUAUGAAGUAACGUCUUUAUGCUCAUCGUUUGGAAGAAAGUACGUCUGUACACGAACACUUAACAGUGUUUAAAGAAAUUCUCUCAAAUUUGGAGGCCAUGGAAGUUCAGUAUGAUAAGGAAGAUCUAGGGUUGAUUCUACUUUGUUCGUUGUCCCCGUCUUAUUCAACCUUUAGAGACACGAUUUUAUAUAGCCACGAGUCUUUUAUAGUUGAUGAGGUUUAUGAUUCUUUAACCUCGUAUGAUAAGAUGAAGUAUCUUGUGGUUAAACCCGACUCUCAAGGAGAGGGUCUCAUUGUUCAUGGGAGACAAGAUCAGAAUGGUGAUAAUGAUUGUGGAAGGAUACAGGAAUGGAAUCUUCACGGUAAAUCUAAGGGUAGAUCAAAGUCUUCAAAUAAAGGUAAAACUUGUAACUUCUGCAAGAAGAAAGGGCACAUUAAAUCUAAGUGCUACAAGCUACAGAAUAAGAUUAAAAAGGGAGGCUGCAAAUCAAAAGGUAAAAUAACCAGAAAAUUCUGGUGAAUCUGAUGUUGUAGAAGACUACAACGAUGGUGAAAUUCUAGUCGCUUCUGUCAAUGAUUCUAAAGUAAGCGAGGAGUGGAUACUUGAUUCAAGCUGCACCUUCCAUAUGAGUCCCAAUCGGGAUUGGUUUACAACUUACGAAACAGUGUCUGAAGGUAUUGUCUUAAUAGGAAAUAAUGCUUCGUGUAAAAUCGCAGGUGUUGGAACAAUUAAAGUUAAUAUGUUUGAUGGAGUUGUCAGAACACUUAGGGACGUACGACAUGUUCCAGAAUUGAAAAGAAAUUUAAUUUUGUUGAGUACUCUUGAUUCAAAAGGGGUACAGAUACAUAGCUGAAAGUGGGGUUUUAAAGAUUUCCAAAGGGUCCCUUGUUGUGAUGAAAGGGCAGAGAAAGAUUGCCAAGUUAUAUGUUUUGCAGGGUUCUACUAUUACUGGUGAUGCAGCUGUCGCUUCCUCUUCCUUAUUAGAUGAUGAUAUUACUAAAAUUUGGUAUAUGCACCUAAGGCAUAUGAGUGAGAAUGGCAUGGCAGAAUUGAGCAAAAGAGGACUUCUUGAUGGGCAAGGAAUUUGCAAACUGAAUUUCUGUGAGCACUGUGUUUUUGGGAAGCAAAAGAGAGCUCGAUUCACUAGAGGAAUCCAUAACACAAAGGGAACGUUGGAGUAUAUUCAUUCUGAUCUGUGGGGGCUAUCCAAAGUACCUUCGAGAGGUGGAGCUAAUUAUAUGUUAACCUUUAUUGAAGAUUUUUCCAGAAAAGUUUGACCAUUCUUCCUGAAGCAGAAAAGCGAUGUGCUUUAUGCAUUUAAGUCUUGGAAAAUUAUGAUUGAAAAACAGAUGAAAAAACAAAUAAAAUACCUCCGCACAGAUAAUGGCUUAGAGUUCUGUUCUGAUGAGCUUAAUAGAUUGUGCAAGUCAGAAGAGAUCAUGAGACACUUGACAGUUCGUCAUACUCCACAGCAAAACGGCGUUGCAGAACGAAUGAACAGAACAAUUAUAGAGAAGGUUCAAUGUAUGUUGUCAAAUGCCAACUUAUCGAAGUCAUUUUGGGCAGAAGCAGCCUCUACUGCAUGUUUUUUGAUCAACCGAUCUCCAUCCAUUGCCAUUGAGAAAAAGACUCCACAAGAGGUAUGGUCUGGUAAGCCUACCAAUUAUUCUGAUUUAAAGAUCUUUGGGUGUCCUGCGUAUGCUCAUGUUGAUAAUGGAAAAUUGGAACCGAGAUCUAUUAAAUGUAUUUUUCUUGGUUAUAAAGCUGGUGUAAAAGGGUAUAAGUUAUGGUGUCCUGAAAAUAGAAAAGUUGUGAUUAGCAGAGAUGUUGUUUUUGAUGAAACUGCUAUGCUACCUAACUUAUCUCUUAAAGACUCUUCCAAUAAAGAAAAUCAAAAGCAGGUGGAGCAUCAGAUUAAUACAGAGUCAACUCCUCAAGCCAGAACAAAAAUUGAUAAUAGAAUUGCUUCUUCACCACAAUACUCUAUCGCCAAAAACAGAACUAGAAGAGAAAUUAAACCUCCAAAGAAGUAUGCCGAGGCUGAUCUAGUUGCUUAUGCUUUAAAUGUGGCUGAAGAUAUAGAUGCGAAUCAAGAGCCAUCUAAUUAUUCUGAGGUGGUUAGCUGUGAAGACUCAGAAAAGUGGAUGUUUGCUAUGCAAGAAAAAAUGGAAUCACUCCACAAAAACAGAACAUGGGACCUUGUGAAACUUCCUAAAGGUAAAAAUGUUGUUCGUUGUAAAUAAGUGUUUAAAAAGAAAGAAAGGACUCCAAGAGUUGAAGAACUCAAAUAUAAAGCAAGGCUUGUUGUAAAGGGUUACAGUCAAAUUCCAAGAGUGGACUUCACAGAUGUGUUCUCCCCAGUUGUUAAGCAUAGUUCGAUUCGAGCUUUGCUUGGUAUUGUGGCCAUGCAUGAUUUGGAGCUUGAGCAGUUAGAUGUAAAAACUGCAUUUCUGCAUGGAGAACUUGAAGAGGAUAUUUACAUGCAACAACCAGAGGGUUUUAUAGUCUCAGAAAAAGAGGACUAUGUUUGGUUGCUGAAAAUGUAACACCCCUUACCCGUAUCCAACAUCGGGAUAGGGUUCGAGGCGUUAACGGACUUAAACAUUCACAACAACACAUAACAUAUUACCAACCAUGCAUGACAAACAAGCAUAUGCACAUCACCAAUAUCAAACAUAACAUAAAUAGCUAUAUUUAUAAGUCAGAAUCAUUAGCUCACUAAAGACCAAUAUAUUUGGCCAAAUUAUAAUAACACAUGUUAUAAAACUAGGUCCCUAUACAUGCCAUUCACUUGAUAAUUCUAGCAUAUGUGUUUAUACUGUCAAGAUAUUGGCUUGAUAGUGUGAUGCUGCCUCCGACGAUCUCCAACCCUGAGCUAACCUGAUAACACUAAAAGAAAUGGAAAGGAGGGGGUAAGCUUUACGCUUAGUAAGCUCGCAUGAAAUAAUAAUAAGCAAUUUACUAACAUGCUUUCCACAGUAAAACUAACCCAAUUGUACAUUUACACAUGUUCUGGUUAAGCUGCUUUCUUGAGUCACAGUCACUAAAUCAUUUAUAUCUGGAGUUACGGAACUCCAAAUUAAGAUCCAUAAAUUUUCACAGAAACUAGACUCAUAUAUAUUUCCACCAUAAAAUAUUCAUAAUUUUUUGAUCCAGUCAAUAAGUACAGUUUAUUAUUCAAAGUCUCCCAUGUUUUGCUAUUUGACAGCUUCAACCUUUCUUCACUAAAAUUUACUUAUCUCAUAGUACGAGACUCGGAUAAUGUUUUCGUUUGUUUCUAUUAAAAGUAGACUCAUCAAAGAUUCUAAGCAUAUAAAUUAUAACCCAUAAUUAAUUUUAUACAAUUUUUAAAAAAAUUUCCAAGUCAGAACAAGGGAUCUCGAAUUCAUUCUGACACUGUCUCACAAAAAUUAGAAUAUCACAUAAUAUACAACUCUUUUGCUCCCCAUAUUUCCUUUAUAUGAAAAUAAACUUAUUAAGAUUUAAUUCCACAAUUUAUUUGAAAUUUAAUUAAACUUACACAAUUUUUGGUAAAUUUUCAAAUUCACACAACUACUGCUAUCCAACACUGUUUUACUACUAAAAUUCACUCUUACAUAAUUUCACUUAAUCCAUUUUGUCUUAUCGAAGUUCACUCAAAUAUCGAGCAUAUUGCUCAAAAUUUUCUUAAACAUAUACCUGCACUUAUUCAUCAUAUAAUCAUGUUCACAUGUAUUUUUACUUAAUCGAUUUUCCCGUUGAACUCUUCGGAAUAAUAACUGAUACUCAGUUGCCUGCACAUAUUUUCACACUUAUAGCCAAAGCUAUCUGUUACGCAUAGUAACCUGCACUUAGUACUACACAUGCGACCAAUUAUCUAGUACACGUAGUAGCCUGCACUUAGUAUUACACACGUGACCUAACCAUCUGAUACACGUAGUAGCCUGCGCUUAGUACUACACACGUGAUCGAAGUUAUCGGGUACGCAUAGUAGCCUGCACUUAGUACUACACAUGCGACCAAUUAUCCAGUACACGUAGUAACCUGCACUUAGUACUACACACGUGACCUCAUAAUAGAUCAUUCGUAUCGUUUCUAUUCCGAAGGCUCAACCGGGAAAUUCCUCACUUUCCAACAUGUUACAAAUUUAUUCAUAGUCCUUUUUCAAUUUGCAAUUUACGACAAAUAGUCAUUCUAUAGGUAGCCACAUUUCAUAUGAUAACAAAAUAUAAUAAAAUAAAAAGAAUCGAUAAAUUAUUUACAUACAAACUUGUCAAAAUCUCAUCAGGCACAAUCGUGCAGCAAUUCAUACAACCCAGGUAAUAGUAAUUUAACACUCAAUUCAUGUAAUAAUAAUUUGCCAUUCAAUUUCACAUGACACAACAAGCAUUACAUUUUUCCAUAUCAUACAUACCAUCCAUCAACUUCUCUUAAACAUUUUAAAUCAUACAAUUUAUGCCAUAUCAAUAGAGAAUUACAAUUCAUGCAUGGUAUUGCAUUAUUGUUAACACACGAACUUACCUCGAUCCAGAAACGGCAAUUUACCAUUCUAGUUCAUAACCUUGUAUUUCCCCGAUUUAAGCCCAAAUCUCGAUUUCCUUGAUUUAUAAUAUCACAUUUAGCCUACUAAUUAGUCAAACUAUACAUAUGGGUCUAAACAUCAUAUUUUUACAAAUUUUCAUUUUGACCCCUAAACUUUUGCAUAUUUGCACUUUUGCCCUAAUGUUCGGAAAUUAAACUUCUUCUUAUUGUCUUAUGUUUUAUGACAUUCUAAUCAUUUUUCCCUUCUAUGGCAACAUCAAAUUCUCACUCUAACAUGUACUAAUGAACAUUAGGUAUUUUUACCGAUUAUGCCGUUUUUCUCGUUUUCACGUAAAAUCGCUUAGCAAAAGUUGUUUAACACAAUUUCAAGCUUUAUAUUCUACCAUUAAACAUCAAAAUACAUGCAUAUAAUUCAUGGUAAAUUUUUAAACACAAACCCUAGCUCAAAAUAAUGGUAGAAAUAGCUAAAACAUGUUACCGGGACUUCAAAAAUGUAAAGAACAUUAAAAACGGGGCUUGGGAUCACUUACAAAUGAGCUUGGAAAGCUUGAAAACCCUAUCCAUGGUAUUUUUCAUGAAAAAUUCGGCCAUGAGGAAGAAGAUGAGCAAAAUUGGCUUAUUUUGGCAUUUUUAAUUCAUUUAAUUACCAAUUUACUAAAAUGCCCUUAAUGAAAAACUUUUAAAAACCUAUCAUACCAUGUCCAUUUUUGUCCACAAACUUCAAAAUGGUAUAAUUACCAUUUAAGGACCUUUAAUUUAAAAAUUCAUUACAAUUAGACACUUCUAACAUGUAGAACUCAACUUUUUUACUUUUUACAAUUUAGUCCUUUUGACCAAAUUGAGUGUCCAAACGUCGAAAUUUUCGAAUGAAAUUUUCAUGAAAUCAUUUCAUGAAAUCGUAGACCAUAAAAAUAUAAUAAAAAUAAAAAUUUUCUCAUCGAAUUUGUGGUCUCGAAACCACUAUUCCGACUAAGCCUAAAAUCAGGAUGUUACAGAAAAAGUCCCUUUAGGUUUGAAACAGUCACCAAGACAGUGGUACAAGAGGUUUUAUGACUUCUCAUAAUUUCAAAAGAAGUAGUUUUGACAAUUGUGCUUACUUUAAGAAAAACAGUGAUGGUUCUUUUGUGUAUCUACUUCUUUAUGUUAAUGACAUGUUGAUAGCAACAAAAGAUAAAGGAGAGAUAAGAAAGGUCAAAACCCAACUAAGUAAAGAAUUUGAGAUGAAAGAUUUAGGACCAGCAAAAAAGAUACUUGGAAUGAAGAUUCUCAGAGAUAGAAAAACAAGUAAAUUGUACCUAAGUUAGAAGGGGUACAUUGAGAAAGUUCUUUGCAGGUUCAAUAUGCAGAGUGCUAAGCCUGUUAGUACUCCUUUAGCAGCCCAUUUCAGACUUUCAACAGUUUUGUCUCUACAAUCAGAUGAUGAGAUUGAGUACAUGUCACAUGUUCUAUACUCUAGUGCAGUGGGAUCUCUCAUGUAUGCUAUGAUUUGUUCACGUCUAGAUUUAUCAUAUGCAGUUAGUGCAGUUAGCAGAUACAUGGCGAAUCCCGGUAAAGAACAUUGGAAAGCAGUUUAGUGGAUUCUAAGAUACUUACGAGGUACUACUGAUGUUUGCUUAUAGUUUAGAAGAACUAGAGAUGGAGUCAUUGGGUAUGUUGAUGCUGAUUUUGCUGGAGACCUUGGUAAAAGAAGAUCUUUCACAUGUUAUGUCUUUAAAAUCGGAGGUUGUGCAAUUAGUUGGAAAGCUACUUUGCAAACUACAGUCGCUUUGUCUACCACUGAAGCUGAGUACAUGGCGAUUACUGAGGAUUGUAAAGAAGCUAUUUGGUUGAAGGGACUCUUUAGUGAACUCAAUGAAGACCUUCAAAUCAGCACAGUAUUCUGUGACAAUCAGAGUGCCAUCUUUCUUACAAAAGAUCAAAUGUUUCAUAAGAGAACAAAACACAUUGAUGUUCGGUAUCAUUUUUUUCGUGAUAUUAUUGCUCGUGGUGAUAUUGUUGUGAGCAAAAUUAGUACUCAUGAAAAUCCUGUAGAUAUGAUGACUAAGUCACUUCCUAUAACCAAGUUUGAGCAUUGCUUAGACUUGGUUGGUGUUCAUUGUUGAAGUUAAACCUUUAAGGGGUUUUGUGGAAGAGGUGGAGAACUUGUUCGUUGAGAGUUUACAAUGAAGAACUUGUUCAUUGAGAAUUCGUGUCAAGGUGGAGAUUGUUAGAAUUAAGUGACUCGAAUCCUUAUUUAAGUAAAAUACAGUGGUAAAAUAAAAUAAAAUAAAAGUCCAUAUAGAAUUACACUUCUUUUAUUUUAUUUUAGAAUAAGGUGUAGCGACGUAAAAAUUUUAGCUUGGUCGCUAAUUGUGGCGAUUUAUUAAACAUUUGAAAACCAAUUUUUGAUUUUAUUAACAAAGGGAGUCGCCACCGAUCCUUUUUAUAGGUGUGAUCGGACACCUAAUAAAUUUAGUUUUAAAACAAAAAGAAGGCCGAAUUUAGGUCUAUGUUAAAAUCCAGAGAAAAUUUAGGGUUCGGGAGUCGGUUACGCGCGAGGAAGGUAUUAGCACCCUCGCGACGCCCAAAAUUGGUAUCUUAUAAACAAGUGUUGUCUUAAUUUUCGAAAUUGCAAGUUCAAAGUAACAUUGAAUCGUGACCGAGUAAAACACGAGAAAUUUCAAGUUUCGUUUUCUUUUGAGAAGGAUAUACCGUUUUAACACGAGUCGAUUGAUAUUCACCCAACAUAGCGAUGAAAUCGAUGACAUAGUGUUAAAUUGGUACGUUGCCUAGAUUAUUGAAAUUAAUUAGAAAACAAGAAUAUGGUUUUCAAAGUAAUGCAAAGCAAAUUAAUAAAUAAAAAAAUAAAAGACAAAUCUAGAGGUACAUUGAAGCGAAUAUAAAUGUGACAAUAAUAUUAUAAACAAUAAAGAUAUAUAUGAUACUAAAAUUAAAUAUGAAAUGGAAAUAAUGAAUAUAGAUACAUGAUAUUAAGAGUACGUAUGUAAACUAUAUAUAAUGUUUGAUGGUGAGAAUAUAACUAAUAAUGUUAAAAUAUAUACAUAAUAUAUACAUGUAUACAUAUGAAAAAUGUGUGCACAUGACGUAUAUGAAAAAUAUAUACAUAGUAAUAUAAAAUAAUAAGUGAUGAUAGUGAAACUAAUGGGUAUAAUAAUUAUAAUGAUAUACGAAAAUAAUACUAUAUAUAAAAUAUGCAUACAAGUAUAAUAAAAUAUAUGUCUUGAUAUUAAUAACAAACAUAGUAGGAGUAAAAUAAAUGUAAUAAUGAUAUAUACACAAUAUGGCAUUAAGAAUAUAUAUAUAUAUAUACAAUAUAGUAUUUAAAAAUAUAUACAUAAGAUGGUAUAAAAAUAUGUACAUGGAAAUGUAUAAGAAAUAUAACUAAUACAUUAAAAAAUAUAUACCUAUACUAGAAAUUAUAAUCGUAUAUAUAAAUAAACUAUUCGUACACUACGCAAAUAUAUACAUAUAUAUAGUAAUGAUGAUGUUUAAGAAUAUACUAUAAUAGUACAAAGUACAUAACUAAUAAUACUAAUACAUGUACAUAAUAAUAUAAUAAGAAAAUGAUAUAUUUAUAAAAGUACAUAAAAAUAUCUAUACAUAUAUGUAAAUAAUAACAAUAAUAUAAAAAAGUAAUAAUAGUGAAAAUAAUAAAUAAAAUAUGGUAUUAAGAGUAUAUAUAUAAAAAUAUAAUAUUAAAAGUAUAUACAUAAUAAAAUAUAGAAAAUAAAAAAAUACAUGUAAAUAACAUAUAUAAAAAAUAUAUUCAUAAUAUAGUAUUAAAAUAUGUACAUAAUAUAUACGUAUUAGAAAUAAAAAAACUACUAUUAAUAAUACUACAUAAACAUGUACAUAUGUAUUCAAGAUAAAUACACAUAUAAUAAAACAUAUACUAGUAAUAAUAAUAAUAAUAAUAAUAUAAUAACAUAGUAAUAAUAACAUAAAGUAAUGGAAAUAAACAAAAGGUACUAAAAUCGAAUUAACAACAGAGUUCUGGGGUGGAUUUAAAAGAGGAAUAAAGAGAAGAGGGUUUAUUUGAAUGUGCGUGCAACCUGGAGGGACCAAGGGCGCAAUAUCCCCAACUAUUAAAACACCACGCUUGGCCAAGGACUAAAUUGAAAGGCGCAAUAAAGUCCAGGGCCGAAUUAAAGGUAAAAAAUAUCUGAUUGUAAAUGCACGAAAAAGCGAAAGGGCUAAAUGCGCAAAUAGCCCUUCCGUUUUAAAAAACACACAGAUCUAACUGGAGCGGGUCGAGUCGACCCGACCCGGGGCCAAAACGACGCCAUUUUUGGUUAAAGGGGGGUUUGGUCCCCUAUAAAAGAUAAAAAAAUUUUAAAAAAAUCAUUUGAGCGGGGAGAAGAGAGAAAAAAAAAGAGAGAACGGGAAAGGGAAAGGGAAUCCCGGCCAGGGGGCCGGUCACCGGGCCCUCACCGGCCGCCGUCCGUCGCUGGCGCCGGCCACCGUGUAGGUAAAACUUUAUUUUUUUUGUUUUUUUUAUUAUUUGUUUUAUAUUUCCUUUUUUAUAUGUUUUAGUAUAUGUAUGUGGGAAAAUAAGCACAAAGCGAAAUUAAAAUAGGAUGAAAAGAAAUCACCUUAGGAUUUUUUUAGCUUUCGAUUUCUGAGAUUUUUGGUUUGUAUUCGAUGCUAUCUACUUUCUUUCUUGGUCUUAAUCUGCUAGUAUUGAUGAAAAAAUGAAGAUGAAUUCUUUGUAUUGAUCAAAAUCCCCCCUUUUACAACUUCUCAUUCGGGCUUUAUAACCCUUUUACAUUUAUUUUUAUAUUAUUUCUAUUUUGUCUUCUUUAUGGAUUGCAGAGGAUGGGCAUGGACGGUGGAGUGUGUGAUGGCUCAGCAUGCGCAGGGCGUGGCGGCCGACAUGGUGGAGCAGUGUCAGGCGCACAUGGGGCAAGGGUUUCUGGCUUUCCAAAAUUUUUAAAGUCUUGGGCCUAUCGGGCUUCACUGUUUUGGGCUGGUGUUGGGUUUUAAAUGUUUAGGUUAGUUUGGGUUUUGGUUGAACUAGGUUUUGGGUAUUUGUAUUUGGGCCUGGGCAAUUUAAAUGGGUCAUUUGGUUUUGAUUGUAAACAGGCCAAAAUUGGCCUACAACAUAAGGUUUUUUAAACAUUAUUAAAUUCUAUCUAUUUGAUAUUGAUUAGAAUAAGGUGUUUCAGUCUUACUAGAAUAUGACUUUACAAGCCUAUAAAUAGACAUAGUCUAUUCCUCUUGUAUUGAAUUUCGACAAAGUGAACUUUCUUCUCCUCUGCCCGUGGUUUUUUCCCGAAAGGGUUUCCAUGUAAAAAUCUGUAUGUUUUUUAUUUUUAUUUUAUUUUUUUCACAAAAGGAGUGAUGAUCAUUUUUCAUUAUCGAAUAUAUAAUAGAACAAUGAGAUAAAAGUUAACAAAUUAGGUAUAUGGAUAUACAAACCACUAAUAUCAUAUAAGAUUAAUACACAAAUGAAAUCAAACAUAACUUUUAUAGUUAUAUAGAAUUUGUUUUUUUAUACUAUAUUAAAGUUGUUGGGUGUUUUUUUGUGUCUAUCCUUUAAAGGGGUUAAAUUCUCUAUUUAUGUAACAUCCGCAUUUGAACUCGGGGUUAGGUACAGUGAUGGAUCAAGUCAGGAAUUAGUAUAAAAUUUUUGAAAUAUAAUAAAUAGAAAUUUUGAGUAUUAAAUUAGGAAGUAUAUAGAUCCAAUAAGAAAUUAAAAAAAAUUAAUACUUUUUAGAUGGGAAAUUUUAAAACAUAUACAUUGAUUUAGUUAAAAGAAUAAAUACUCUUUAAAUAAAGUUGUUGAGGAUCUCACACGCCCGUGUGCCCACCAGAUACGGCUGUGUAUCCAAAACACAUGCCCGUGUGGGAUCCCUAAAUCCUCAAAUUAGCCAUACGGCCGUGUGGUACCAAAUCUUUAAAACCCUAAUUCCCAAUUGCACACGCCCGUGUGCCUAAGAGGCACAGCCGUGUGAACAUUGACUAAAAUCCCCAAUUGGCCACACAACCGUGUGGCACCAAAUUUUGCCCAAAAACCUUAAUUCCUAACUAUACACAGCCUAGUGAACAGCCCGUGUGGGGGCACAUGCCUAUGUGGCCACCCAUGUGGUCACGAAACCAUACCGAAAUAGUUUAUUGAAAGUGCCUUGUUGCUGAAACGUACCCCAAUCCUUAAAUACUCAGAAAUAUAUCAAAAUCACACUUAAUUAUAAGUUAUUCCAUGAUAAUCACCCCUUUCGAAUGGUCGACUCCACAAGCACACAACAAUUUCCAAUUCCACAGAAACAAAUCGUAAUUCGUUAACAAAAAUUUAAAAGGUUCGAAACCCACACCUAAUUCGCAAUCCAAACGUUUAGAAACCAAACAACACACGAUGGCGACCUCGAUUCGAACGCAAAGCUUUUCGAAAACCACAACACAUCUGACUUAUAAAAAAAAGAAGAGGAAAAAAAACAAAGAAAAGGGAAAAGGAGAACAUGCCAGAAAAAGCAAAAAAAGAAAAUAAAUAAAAACUAAUAGUAAAUAACUAGUUUAAAAAAAUUAAAACAAAUCUAAGGCAUUAAUUAAUAAAAAUAAUCCCCCUAACACAAGAUUAAGACUCAAACUCAAGUCCUAAAGGUUCUGUAGCACCCCAAACCCGGCCCAGAAGUUAUGGCCGGAUCCGGCAUGCCACAUCAAAAACGUUAAAAAAAAUUCCAUUCUAAGUCCAGAAAAUCGUACUUGAUGUUCAAAAUAUUAAUUCAUUAAGGGUUAAAGUGAAUGGAAGUUGUGCACCAGGUAGGAAACCGGAAAAGAGGUGGUGAGUCCAUCGGACUGCUUAAGUACCAAGCUCCCUUCGGAUCCAAUCCUAGACAUGCAUACUGCCAUUGCCACACCUUAACGUCAUGGAUAUUUCUAGGAAACCGAUUUGAUUAAGUCAUUUUUAGGAAAAGUGAUUAAUUUUGGAAAAUACUUUCAUUGCGGAAGCUUUGCUUGUUGUCGUGUUAUUUUGAAAUCAACUGUUGUUUUUGAAAACGCGCCCUAAAGCUAUCCAAUUUCAACAGUUAAAAUAAGUAUUACCUAUCUUAGUAAUACAUAUUAAAAACCAUCAAAAAUAAAUAAGCGGCCUUAUUACAUUUAAAAGCCCAAAACCUCAAACGUAAUUAAAAGGAUGUCCAGUUCACAAGAAGAAAAUCAAACUUUCAGAACGGGUGGCCACUCCGAAUUCCCUCACAGCUCCAAGCCCACUAUGGUUGGGGAUUUCCUGCGUGGAUGAAAAUAAAAGGGAUGAGUUUGGGGAAACUUAGUGUGUAAAAUAACCCAACCAUAGUCUAAAUCAGCUUAACCCACAGAAACAGAAUAAGUUGGCCUUAGCCCAGAAUAGAAUUCAGAAUAAAGCCCAUAGGCCCAUAACAGAACAGAACAAAUAUUACAUGUUUAUGUAGAAACCCAACCAUAUCCAACCGUAUACACCCCCGUACCAACCUUACACCGUGUGGGGAGACAACUCGACCCACCCAACCGCUACACACCACAGAAUUUGCAGCAUGGCUACCAGAACAGAUAAUGUGACAGAGUCACCGGAUACAGAUAAUCGUGGCAGAGCCACCAAAACAGAUAUAUGUGGCAGAGCCACCAGAUCAGAUAUUUGUGGCAGAGCCACCAGAUCAGAUAUUUGUGGCAUAGAACGCUUCCUCCAUAAUAUAACCCAUGUCCCCAUGCAACAGAUAUAUAAUCAUGGCAUACAUCAUACAGAAUCAUAUAGUCAUGCUUUUCAGUCAAAAUUAACCCUAGGGGUAUAACGGUAAUUUUGCACCUAAAGGUAUAACAAUAAUUUUCCAUACAUAGGGGUAUUAUAAUAAUUUAGCUCCUUUUAGGGUUUUCAUGCAUAUCCUAACUAUUUACGUACUAUCAGAACACUUACCGCGCAUACUUACUGAAUUGGGCCCGUUGGCCCAUGAACCCGAUCUUUGGCCCAUUAAGCCCAAAUUAUCAAAAUGUACGAAAUCGCACGUACUGCGGUUUAUUACUUUAGAUUACCAAAUAUACAAACCCAACUAUCUUACGAGCAUUCGCACACUCGCAAAUUCCCAAAAUACCGACUUUUCGGCAUUUCGACUUUUCAACUUUUGCCAAUCUAGUCUAUGAGAGGGUGUCAAUUACACACCUGUUUGCGACGAUAUGCUGACGAGAUCCACACACGAACCGCCUACAAUUGGAUUACUAACACGUUAAUCUAACUAUUCAAAUACAAACUACAUAUUAACCCCUUACAAUAUUCGGCCAACCACACCUACAGAUCAUAGUAAGCUUAUAAGAGAUCAAUAAGCAACUCAUUAACAAAUUUUUGUCAAUGUUUACCACAUAAUCAUAAUUUCACUGCAAGCUGUCUUCCUGAGCAACAGUCACUAAAUUAUUUAUAACUGGAGCUACGAAACUCCAAAUCAAGUGCCGUUAAUUUUCCCUGAAAAUAGACUCAUAUAUCUUUUAUCCAUAAAAUUUUCAGAAUUUUUGGUAUGGCCAAUCAAUACCAGAGUUUUCUUAAAGUUUCCCAUGUUUCACUGUUUGACUAAUCUGACCACUCUUCAUUACGAAUCAAAUUUCUCAUUGUACAGAAUUCAAAAUAUGUUCUAGUUUAUUCCAUUUGAAACUAGACUCAUUAAGCUUUAAUUACAUAAUUUAUGCAGCUUCUAACUCAUCUCCCACAAUUUAUGGUGAUUUUCCAAAGUCACGUUACUGCUGCUGUCCCAAGCAGAUUUAUUACCAAAUCACUCUUUCACACCUAACUUGCAUGCAUGUUAUUUAAACAUGUAUAUCACCAAUCAAUCAUCACAUAUCUAUGAUUUUACUUAAGUAUAAUCUCCAUUUCAUCAUUUUAAAGCACAACAUGUUAGCUAAUUUUUCCCUUUAACAUCUAAGGCACAUGCAUGCUCAUUUGUUUGGCUCAACUUCACCUAUCUUCCAUUUUUCAUCAAAAGAACAUGAAACAACAACCAUUUCCUUCAUUUUAAUUCAUGACUAAAUAUUCACAACAUAACUAAAAAUCAAAAUAUACUUCAAGAGUUAAGGUAGAAUCAAGAAGAACUCAUGAACCUCAAAAUAGAAGCAAGGUACCAAGAACUUACCUUCAAUUUUCCUCCUCUCAAGAGCUUUCUCCUCUCCCUUCUCUUCUCUAACUUUCAGCUAUGAUGAACAAAGAUGGACAAAACUUUGUUCUUUUCACCCCUUUUUCUUUUAAUAAAACUUCAUAUUUCAUCCAUUUAAUUCUUUAAUACAAAAGACAUGAAAUUCUUAUCAUGAAACAUUUACCUAACCCAUUAUCAUGAAACAUUUACCUAACCCAUUAUCAUGGAACAUUUACCUAACCUAUUAUCAAUUUGUAUCAAUUUGUACCAUAAAUUAUGGAUAUCAAAUGUACAUUUUGUCUACAACAACAUGAUGGCUGGCCACUUCAUGUAAAAUGGGAGGUUUGUCAUGCAAAUCCUCCUAUUUUGCACUCCUAUUUAUUUGGCCACUUCAAUUUAGCCUAUAGUAUUUUCAAACAUUUUCACAUAGGUUCUAUUUCAUGAUUUCACCCCCUUUUUGUUAUAGAACAAAAAUUAACUAAAAUUGACGGGUUCUAUCUUAAGCUUGGGCUUUCUAAAGGCCCACUAACAUAAUUAAACCUAUGCCAACAUUCACAUGAUUCCCGAAAAUUGGGGCGUUACAGGUUCACUAACACUCAACCAACCACUAAACUAGCAGGCUCAUUCUGACACUAAAGCGCAGAAACAAUCCUAAAUACACGAUCUACUCAUUAACCCUUACUUGAAAGCCCAAACUUCUAACCCCAAAAACUGGGGUAUUACAAAGUAGAUAAAAAUUAGAACUACUAGGAUAUUAGUGGCAUGCCAUUAAGGGACCCUAGCGCGGUCUCCGAUUAUUAGUACAUUAGUGCUCUCCGUUUAGCACAUUUGUGCUCUCUGUUUAAUAAUGAAUAAUAAUGCAUCUUUGUAUUUGUUCCGUAUAUCCAGUGUGUUUUAUAAAGUCUACUUUGGGCUAAGAAUAUGAGUUGUGAACAAAAGUGAAUCAUCAAUUUGUUGAGGUAAGUUUGAUAACUUACAAAAGGUAAGUUAAAUUUUAUUAAAGUAAGGUAUAGUUGAAGAAACAUGUAUGUGUCUAAAUAUGUAUUUAUUGAAUAAGUUUAAAAUUUUAUGUUAUUAUUUAUUUACCUAUUUAUUCUUGUAGUGCUUACUAAGCCUUCACCAGCUUAACACGUUUAUUUUAACGCGUAGGUACAGUUAGUGUAACACCCUGAAUAAUUUAUUUAUGUUUAUGUAAAUCUUAACAUAAAUGAGUAUUUACUUCAGUGGUUAAGUGUUCUAGGUGUGUGUAUGAAGUCUUGGGUUUAAGUCCCACUUUUGGCAAUUCUAUUAUUUUUUAUUCUGGCCUUAUCUCUUCUGGGUAGGGUUUUGUAAUAUUGUUUGCAAACUUAUAUUAGAAUGAGCCUUUGAUUUGAGUGGUAAGGAGUUAAUGUGUUGGAGGUCUUGUGUUUGAAUCGUUAUGUGAGCAUAGGUGAUAAUUUUUGUUCCCGUUGUCUGUUAGAGGUUCGUUGGAGUUGGGAGUCUGAAGUAGUUGGAUGUGGUUAGUGGGGAGGAUAUUAUGGGAUGUGGUUGUUGUAGGGAGUUGAGAUAUUAAUCAAAUAGGUUUUAUUAUUAUUUUAGUUUAUUUUUUUAUUUUUCUCUCUCUUCCCAAAAUUUAAUGUCAGUUUCUGCCUCUCCUCCAUUUUUUUUCUUUUCUGCUGUUUCUAUCAUUUUGUCUCUCCUCUACUUCCUUCUUCUCUUUUACUUUUGUUUUUUCUUCAAGUCUAUUCACGCGUCUUCUAUUCUUCUAGUUGCGUUUUAGAUUUUGGUGUUCUUCAUGCGAUUUAGGUAAGAGUGGUUACUUUUGUCUUUAAAUAACGAUUUCGGUAAGCUAUUUGGAUUCAUUUUCAUUGUAGUAGCGUAGUGGUGUAGUAGGGAAUUUGAUUCUCUGUAAACGUAUUGUGUAGGAGAAGUAGGUGAAACGAUCGUUUUCGCUCCAACGGUCUGAUCUGUGCGUGUGAUCGAGUUUGAUAGUGGCAAGUACGUAAGCUUUGUUCGAUUUAGUAUUGAUGGUUUUACAAUUUUUUUGCUAAAAAGGUGUUUGAUAUUCUAUUUUUAGGUUCUAGUGGUCUCAGAAGUAGUUUCACAUCAAAACCGAACUAGAUGUGUACCCUUAAAGCGAAAAAAUAAGAUUCGACGAAAGCUUAAAAUGGGGCCUAUCGAUGCCACACGGGCGUGUGCCUGGUCGUGUGGCUAGCCGUGUAUAAGACAAGGUCGUGUGAUUGAUAAAGGUGUGGCAAUACGCUUGACACGACUGUAUGAUGUGUGAGUGUGACCGUGUGGGCCACACGGGCUAGGCCAGGUUGGGCGUAUGGCCCUACACAAACAUGCCACAUGGGCGUAUGAGUUUUGGGCCAGGCCAUAUGGACCACAUAGGUAAGGCCAAUACGAGCAUGUAGGUCACCACGUGCAUAUGGCCCUACACGGUCAUGUGGACCUAGAAAUCUGAAAUCUUUCCUAGGGUCGCACAGGUCAUCGCGUUUGAACACCCCAAACAUAAUACUAAGAAAUAAAAUUCUUAUAUAUCAACUACUAAUAUUAUUUUUGUUACUCCAAAUAUCAUAUGUAAACUAAUUUCUAAUACUUGAUAUGACACAAUCCUGCUCAUUUUACAACAGUUGAAUAAGAUUAUCUUUACAAACUCUUAUAUUAAUAUUUGAUUUAUUAUUUAAAAUUAACUUUGAAAUUAAUUUCAAAUUGUGGCUUAUUAAUGGAGUGUUGAUUUUUGUAAGGAAUAACCUCAAUACCGAAAAAAUUAGAUAAUAAUAUGAAUACUAUAGUAAUUGAAGACAUUUGUAAACUUUAUUUGUACAUAAAAACGUGAUGAUCAUAUAUAAACGUGUAAUUGUUUGACAAGAAGUCUCACCAAUUUUUUUUUAUCUUAAACAUACACUUAUAAUUCAGUGUGUCUAAGCCAAGUCCUAGGCAUAUCAAUUAGGUGUGAUGGCCCUGAUCUCAAUCCCCUGCAAAAUGAGACCACCUUUCUCGUUACCGCCCUGAAUCUCCAAUGCACUCAUUUCCAAUUCCCCAUCAUCAACACAUCCCUCAUUGAAGAACUCACCCAUCUCAACCUCUAACCACCCGUCUACUCUAGCCUUUGGGAACUGAACAUCAUUAGGUAUAGGUUGUCGAUCUAUUGGAAUACGGUCUCUUUCUGGUUCCAAAUAGGCAGCUCUUCUACUACCUUCAGUUCCAACAACUCCAACACUAAGUUGCGCUGGAUAAAAUUGAAACCCGUAAAUAUUACGUACUCUGUAUACAAGGUAGGCCUUGUAGUACGUCAUGGGUGAAAGCAUGGAGAUACUAAUCCUUCCACGGAUUUCAAACCAGCAAACGAGCCGAAGCUCUGCUACCUCGUCAAACCUAUUUUAACAUCAAUGGAAAAUGAAUUGCCAAAGAGAAGUUCUCUUAUUCAAACACAGGUAUCCAUUAAAGAUGAAUAUGCAAGUAUUUUCUCUUAAAAGAUUUUCAGUUAUUUUGAAUUUAAAAUAUGGAUUUAGACCCGGCCAGCAUGGCAAGGAGGAGAGAAUAACCUGGCCUCGGGUAUAGACACCCAUCUCCAAUACCAUGGGGUGUCGACACUACAUAUAAUGGUAAGGUCCCUGGGUGACAGCAUGUAACAUUUCUUCCCACUCCCUCUUUCCAUCCAAAAACUCUGUUUCAUCAAUAUCAACUAAAUUAUAUGUAAAGAACAAAAGAACUAAAAAUAGAUAUAAACAACAUAGGAAUUGUUAAGAAAAAGAUUCAAGCAACAAUGGCAUAGUUCGUAAUUAAUAUGUCAAAAGCUUUUCCAAAGUACUUUCUAAGCUUCUUACUUCUGUUAGUUGCCGUUUGUUUUUUUCUUUCUUUAUGGUGAAUUACCCAAAUCUCGAACAAAUUAGAUAAAAUUAGACAUAUAAGAGAAAUAUUAGACAAAAUUUCCAUAUAAAUUAAAAUAAUAUAUCUUAAUAAUUCAAUUAUUUAAAUUUAUUCUUGUUUUAUCCCAAUACAGUUUUUGCCUUCAAAAAUCAAAAGAAAAAGAAAAACCAGAUAAAAUUCCUUGGUGUUUUUUUCCCAUGUAAGGGAAACAAGCCAUAUUCAGAUCAAAGGAAAAUAAUAUUUCAAGAACUUAAAAUUCAAAAUAAUAAUAUGAUUGGACAAAACAACAUGUGAUAUUAAUAGGAUUACAAUGAUUUUGCUUUCAGAAAAUGAAGCAUCCAAAAGCUAAAUAUGACUCUUUAGAUUUUCAGAUUUUUAACCUGUAAACCCUAAAUGGACAUUAAAUUAUAUAACAAUGCUAGGGAAAUUUUUAUUACAACUUGAAAGAGAAAGGAUGAAAUUACCUUUCGUCCAGCUUCAAUGAGAAGGGGAUUUUCACAGAGGCUAAGAUAAAGUUGUUUCUUGGACGAGAAAGAGAGCGAUGAGGGAAUUAAUGCCUGGUAUUGGGAUGGCAAGAAGCUUUCCCAAACAGCAUCGGAUUCAGUAGCCGAAUUAAAAGCAGUUGAAACAGGCGACAAUCUACAGGCAUCUCGAGGAGAGGUAAAGGAAAUAAUGAGGGUGAUACAAUCUAGUGGGAGAGCACUCAGGUCGAGAGUGCCGCACAUAACCUUUCCCUUUCCUUUUCUUUCUUCCAUUUCAGAAACCUCGGUUUUCAUGAGAUCCGAAAAAUCGAUUUGUAGUAAGCGAGAUAUCAAGUAUAUAUACACGUAGAAAAAUAGGGAAGGAGAAAGUACUGAGCUUAGCGAUUAAGUCAUUGACUUGACCAAAAUCGGUUAAGUUGAAUUUUUAAAAUGUAUCAUCUUACCCAUUAUUUUAUUAAAAUAUAAAAAAUAAAAAUAUUCUCAUAUUAAUAUUUUCUUCUUUGUAAAAAAAUAAUGUCAAUCAAUGCUGGGUCUGGAUAGGUGUAUUAUUUAUCUGCAGUUAGUGUAAAAAUAACGGUGACUGUGAGAUUAAAUAUUAUAACAUAAUUAAAAAUUAUAUAAUAUAUAUAAUGUUUAUGAUUAUAUAAUAUAGAAGAAUUUUAUAAAUAUAAUUAAUAUUAUUAUAUGAUGUUAUUUAUAUAAAUUUGUAUGAAAUAUUUUUUUUGUUUAGUUGUAUGUAAUAUUUAUGGUUAUAUGAUCUAUAUAUAAAUUUUAUUUGUUUGAAUUAUUAUCUAGAAUAUAUAAUGCAUGAGUUCGGAUAAACUUUUAAAUUGACAAAAAAUAAUCUUUAUUACUCAUUAAAUUUUAAAUAUUAAAAAAUAUUUUUUACAUGCUUAAGAAUAAAAAAGUCUUGAGUAAAAUAAUUAAAAAAUCAAUUAAACUGAUAAAAAAUGUAUUCAAUUGAAAAAAAUUACAUUAAAAUUAUUAAUAUAGGUGAGUUUAAUUUAAUCAUUUCCUUGUAAUUUUUAUAUUUUUGAGGUAGUGGGAACUUGAUUUAGCUAGUUCAUGUACCAAUUUGUAAAAUUGUUAAAGUUUAUAAAAGCUUCUAUUGAUAAAUUCUUGAAGCAAUUGAUAUUAAAUUGUUAGAUUUUAAGUUUAGAAGUGAAAAAGAUUAGAUUGUAAAUUAUAAUUGCUAAUUAUUGAACAUAAUAACUAAAGUGUAUAAAUUUCGAAAUUGAUGUGAAAUUUUUGUAAUUAUACAUAAUAUAGGAUUAUAGAAGGAUAUAAUUGAGAUCGGUUUCGAAACCGAAGCUCAAAUUUGAAGGAUAUUACAAUUUCAAUUUUACGGGCUAAAUUGAAUAAAAUGUAAAACUUUAGAGACGUUUGAAAAAUGAAAUUGGAUUGAUUCAUGCAUUCAGUAGGAUAUUAUAAAAUUUUUGAGAAUUGAUAAAUUGAAUUGAAUUAUUGUUUAGAUCAAGAAUUGAGUCAAACCAAAAAUAACUGAGGAAAAGACAAAAUUAUCUAUUAGUCCUUACAAAUUCGACUUGUUUGUUGAUUUGACUAGUUAAGUUAAGUCGGAUCAAAGUUGAAGCUCACACUAUUCCAUUUUUGAUUCGGUCGUCUUUCAAACGUUUUAAAGUUCGGUUAUGUAGCAUGUACAUAGGUGUUUAUAUGUGUUAGCUUGGAACGUAGUUUGAAUCUUAUCUAAUGUUUGAUAUUUAGGAAGGUUAAUGCCAACAUGUAAAUGUAUGUUUUGGUAACAUGUUAUGGAAUUGUGAAUGACAUUAAAAUGGUAUGUUUAAGUAUGAAAUGAUAUGGUAAAAAUGAUGGCAUUGGAUGUCUAGGUGAAUGGUUGAUUAAGUUAAAGUUGAUUAAGUUUAAUUGAUAUGUUUUGAUGCCAAAUUAUGCCAUUUGGAUUGGUUGAUUUAUAAUGAUUAAAUGAAAUGUUGAAAUGUGUUUCGGUAUAUUUUGUAUAGGAAAAGUUUGGCAAACAUGCACCAAAUGUGAAAUUGGUUAGGCUGACAUGGAAUAAGUACUAAAUGGUAAAAAAUGUACCAAAAACAAAGUCCACGUCGCGAUGUUGGGCAAUGAUAGUCACGACGAGCUCUGGACUUCAGGCUACGAAGUGACGAGGAACCCUGUUGUCACAACAAGGCUAAGUUAGUAUGUCACGUCUCGAAGAGAAAAUCCCUCACGUCACGACAUCGACCUAAAGAUUUAAGACUUUUAAAAAUUAGUCAUUGUUUUAUCUCAGGCUGACUUUAGAGCAUAAAUAGGUUUGUAAAAGACUUGAGAAAAGUGGUGUAUCAUGGCUGUGGUUUAAAAUGUUUAUGUUUGCAUGUAUUAUGUCGUGAUUUGAAUGUUAAAUGUUUGUAGUUGCUCCGGCAACAGAUGUGAUAUACUGUAAUUCGGACCCGACGAUCAUGUCAGACAAAAGGUGUUAUAGAUUUGUUGUUAAUUUUAAAGUUUAAUAUAAUAUAAUAUUUACAAUAUAUUUACAAAAAUUAAAUUGUCGAAACCAUCCCUUUUUCAAAAAUUUUAAAGUUUUAAAUUUAAUGAAAAUACGGGAGAAUCGACUUUUGAAAAAUAAUGCAUGGAGUCACCACCGAUCUUUUUGUUUUGGUGUGAUCGGAUCACCUAAGAAUUUGGUUAUUUUAAUAAAACAUUUUCGGUUUACUAAAACACCGAUUAUGGUCUACGAAAAUUUUAGAAAACGGGCUCGGGAGUCGGUUACGUAUGAGGAAGGGUUAGCACCCUCACUACGCCCAAAAUUGGUACCAAAUCGAUUAAACACUGUCCUUAUGUCUAAAAUUAAAAAUGUUUUUGAAAUGUGGUUCUUUUUUAAUAACAUUUGAAUAACCCGAGUUGAUUGUCAAAAAUCUUCUUGUUUCGAUGUCAGAAAAUUUAUGAUUUGAAAAUCACAAAAGGAUGCUCAACUAUUUAGCCCACGGAAAACCGAAACCCACCACAGCAGGGCACAAUUCCUCGAAUUUCCAAACAUUGCCUCACCUUAGAAAAUACGAGUGAAAUUUCGAAGAGAUAUUCGAUUGUUUAGAACAAACGAGAGAUUGCAACCCAGCGCGAUAGGGCACGAUUCUCGAAUUGCCAAACAUCGAACAUAGCUUUUGUUUUAAAGGGUUUUUAAUAAACAUGAGUGAAAAUCUAAAGGAAUAUUCGAUCGUUUUGAACAAACGAGAAAUUAUAACCCAGCACGAUAGGGCAUGAUUCCCGAAUUGUCAAACGCCGAAUAUUGCCUUCGUUUUAGAGGAUUUUUAGAAGACCUGAAUGGAAUCUCGAAGGGAUAUUUGAUUAUUUUGAGCAAACGAGAAAUUGCAACCCAACACAUUAGGGUACGAUUCUGCGAAUUGCCAAAUAUCGAACUUUGCAUUCGUUUUAAAGAAUUUUUAAAAGGCAUGAGUGAAAGUUUGAAGGGAUAUUCGAUUAUUUCGAGCAAACGCGAAAUUGCAACCCAACACGUUAGGGCACUAUUCCGCGAAUUGCCAAAUAUCGAAUCUUGUCUUCGUUUUAAAGAAUUUUUAAAUGUAUAAUCAUAGAACUAGCUUAAAACGUCUUAAUGCGUUUUGAAAUAGGACGAAAUUGAUCAUAAAGAUUUGAAUUUUAUAAAACCACAUUUCAUAAACCACCAAAUGGAAAAUGAUGAUAAAGGAUAAUGUGCACACAUAAGAUACAAUCAAUUAGCGAACUGAAAAUUAAAUACAAUUAACCAAAAAAAUACAAUCCAAUUACAAUCAUGCAUGGGAAAUAAUUGAUAUCGUAAUACAAUGACGAAAAUAAUAAUGUAACAAUUCAACACAACCAAAACAAUACACACAAUAACAUGCCACAAUAAUAUACAUUGCAUGAUAUAAAAUAAUCAAUGCAAGAUGUAGAAAAACAACAUAGCAAUUAGAAGCUAAUGUGCCAUAAUGAUUUUAAAAUAAUAACGAAUAAAUGGACACAUAAUAUAUAGGUUGACAAACUUGUAUAAAAACUAGGAAUAGAUAUAUAAUUUUUGAAAUGGGUAUUAAAGAAUGAAAAUUUGAACCAAGUUGCAUGUAAAAUAUUUUAAACACAAAUAUAUUUAAAAGUUAACAAACUACAUGAUAAUUUAAAUAAUAUAUAAUAUAAAAGAAUGAUGAAGAUAUAUGACAAGACAUAAUACACAAAAUAGAUUUAUGAAACAUAUGUACAUGCAAGUUUAUUAUAAAAAAGGAACAUGAGAUUAAUAAUAAGGUAUAUAUAAAUUUUUAAAAUAGUCUAAAAAUUUUACAUAUGCCCUUAUAUCAAAAUAUUUAGAUAAUAGGCUAUAUGUAAAACACAAAAGCAAUAUGAAAUAUAUACAUACACUCAAAAAUAAUAAUUUUAUAAUUACAAAAAAAAUGGAGUUCCCAAAAUUAUUUCAUAUAUACAUGAAGAAAAUACUCGACAAGUUAUGAAACAAAAAGUAUUUUAAAAUAGAAAAAUCUAUUAGAGUAGUAGACUUAUUAAUAUAUAUAUAUAUGUAUAUAAGUUUAAAAACAAAUACAUGUAAAAUAACAUAGAUGUGAUAAUAUGUAUAGGGCUAAAUUAGUCUUAUUAUAUAUUAUAUACAUAAUAGAUUUUUAAAAAAAAACAUGCUUAUAUAUAAGGAGAACUUCAUGUAUAAAAUACAUGGAUUUAGUAACAUAUAUAUAUAAAUUAAAAAAUGAGUAUCAAUGGAUAUGUACAUAUGUAUGAUAAUAAUUUAAGAGAUAUAUAACGUUGAACUACAUAAUAAAGUAUAAGAAUAAACUUAAAAAAAAACAGGUGUAUAAAAAAUAUAAGGUUAAUAAUGAUAUAUAUAUGAAAUAAAAAAAAUAACUUUAAUAUAAAGUAUAUGUAUAUACAGUAGUAUAUGUGAAAAACAUUAUAAAAGGGAUUAAAGAAAAACGAAAUCAAAUCAUUAAAAUAUAUAAAGAACAGUAAGUAGACAAGGAUAAAAACAAUUGAAUGCGUCUAAAAAAGAUUGAUAAUAAGCCAUAAAAUGAAUAAAUAAAGAGAAGGGACAUAAUUAAAAGAGAAUUAAAAUGAUAGGGACAAAGUAUAAACAAAAUCAACUAACAAAAUACGAAGGGGACCGGCGUCUAACAUGCACGAAUGCGCAGGGACUGAAUAUGGAAAUAGUCCAGACCCCAAAACGCAGUGCUGAAGCUCGGACUACGUUGCGAACGCGAGCAAAUUAGGGGGAAAAAUUAAAAGAAAAAGAAAUGUGAAAUGUGAGCUGAUUUGCACACAGCGCGAAAGGAGGGGGACCAAGCACGAAAUUAUCCCCUCACCGCAAAAUCACGCGGAUCCUGGGGGUGUUCGGGUCGGGUCGUGUCGGGUGUGGCCAAUACGGUGCCGUUUUGACACCAACAUUCACAGUCUAAACGACACCGUUCUUUGAACAUCUUUAUAUCAAAGUUUGCCCUAAGAAUCUAUUCGGCCGACUCUCUCAAAAAUCUUUGCAAAUGCUUCACAAACCCAUCUUCCUCUCAGUCAAUCCGCAAGCUUCAUCGGCGCCGGAUGCACCUCCACCAUCGACGCGAUUUUAAUCGGACCCCCAAGGAUCUGAUGACCCUUUGACCGGAGAGGCAAAGGAGGAAUGAAUCGACACCGAAUCAGUAAGCCAAUCCUUUCCCCACCUUUUGUAUUUUCAUGACAAAUUCAAAAUAGAGAAAGAAAAUAAAGAAAACGAAGAAGUAACAACCAAGAUUAAUGAACGAAUCGCUUUAGAGUAUAUUUGCUUCCGUAUUCAAAUGCUAUUUAAGCGUAAUAUAUGAAAAAGGAAGGAAAAUAAUCAGAUCUUAAAUCACCUCUUGAAAACUGCUUUUUUUCAAACUCUCUUUUGAUACCGAUUUUUUACUACUAUUUAUUAUUAUUGCUUCAAAAUAAGACAGAAAGAACACAUAAAAGCAAAGAAAAGGAACAACCUUUGGGGUUUGAAUUCGAUUUCUCUUUCAAAAUCGCCUCUUUUUUUUAGUAUUGGAUAUCUGUAUUCAAUGUGCGUACCUUCUCUUACAAUGAAAAUAAGGCUUUUAUAUAGCCGAAAAUAAAAAGAAAAAAAUACAAAGAAUUUCAUUUUCCGUUCUUUUUCUUUGCUGCUGUUUUUUGCUUUGUUUUUGCUUGUCCUUGCUGUUGUGUUUGUCUGUUUCUUUGCAGGUGCGGAGGUACAGGGCCAGCUGUGGCGUACGGCUCGUUGUUGUGGAGGCGUGGACGUGGCCGUGCUGGAGGGUUGCGGCUACUAGGGAAACCCUAGGUUUCUGUUUAGCUGAAGUUGUUUUAGUUUUGGGCAGUUUGGGCCACGGGUAUUUUGGGCUAGGGUUUUAGCUAAUGGAUUUUAAUUAGGUCUUGGGUUAUGUAUUUAAUUUUAGGUUUUGGACUGUAAAAUGGGCUGAUGGACUGUUAAUAAAUAAUAUUUAUUGGGUUAUUAUUUUUUUUUGUUUUUUCGUUUUUGUGUUGUAACGGGCCGGGCAAAUUUUGGGCCUUACAUAAAUACUUAUCAAUUUACAUUUUAUUUUUAUAUGAAUAUUAUCAUAUAAUUAUUUUAAUUAUUAAUGUCUAUUUCAUUAUAAAGUUGGACUUUUUCAAGUUUUAGAUCAAAUCUAUCACAGACAUCAGCUUGGAUUGAUCUCAAGCUCAAGUCGAUUUUGGGCUCAAAUUAACUCAAGCUCGAGCUUUCUUGGGUUUAGAUUUUUCUCGAAUUUGGAUUUUUUUGAGCUCAAAUAAUCAUAGGCCCGGAUUUUCUUGAACACGGAUCGUUACGGUCUUAAAUAGGCACGAGCGGGCUUUCAAGCUCAAGCCUAUUUUCUCAGCUCUACUAAAAGUAUAUAUUUUUUUAAAGAUAACUUGACAUCUAUGAGUGUUGAGGUUCUUUAUUUUUUGUGACUGGCCAAGUUUUUUGAGCCCUUCGGGAUUAGGGAGGAGAUUAUGGAAGAAAUCUAGACAUUAAAUGAACCUGGACACCUUUUAAUGCCCAUAUUCUUUCUAGAAUCCCCUCUCUAAUAUCAAGGUGUCCAAAUCAUGAUUUCCUUAAAAUUUAAAUUUAUUUCAAUAUCUUUAGUUGUCAAUGUCCAUUUAGAUUUUAGAAAAUCUUAACCCUAGUUGUUAAGUUUUUUCAAAAAAAAAUAAUUAGAGAAAUGGAAAAUUAAAAUGGACUUUGAUGCCUUUGAGGGUCAAGAUUCAUUUAAAAAUCCUAAUGAUCUUUUUAACAUAAUAGAAAAUAUUUUAAAAAAUUAAACAUAACUAAACAUUCAUGGUGUCGAGAUCCAUUUAAAUAGUUGAUCUCACUUGUUUAUUUCUCAUAUAAAACUAAAAAAAUCAUUUAUAUUAUAAAUUAUCUACAUACUCAUAAAUUUCUAACCCAAUUUUUAAAAUUUUAUAACGGUUGUAUCUUUGAAAUGAAUUUCAAGUUGCAACUUAUUAAUCCAGUGUUCGCCUUUCUAAAAAAAUUUGGAUAAUAAUAUAAAUAUUAUAGUAAUUGAAGACAUUUGUAAACUUUAUUUGUACAUAAAAAUGUAACGACACUUUUUUAAAAAAAUUUCUUUGAUUAUAAUACAUUCUUAAUUUUUUUAUAUUAAUAUAAAAAUAUUUUUUGAAUAAUACAUUAUUUAUCCAUUCAUCGCAUAAAUAUAAAAAUUAAUAUUAUAUAUAUAAAGUGUAAAAUGUUGACCAAAACAUAAAAUUAACACAAACAAAUUUAAUAAUUCUAUAAGUUAUAUAUAUAUAUACGACCAUAUAUAAACGUGUAAUGGUUUGCCAAGAAGUCUCACCAAUUUUAUUCAUCUUAAACAUACACUUACAAUUCACUGUGUCUGAGCCGAGUCCUAGGCAUAUCAAUUAGGUGUGAUGGCCCUGAUCUCAAUCCCCUGCAAAAUGAGAUCACCUUUCCGGUUACAGCCCUCCAUCUCCAAUGCACUCAUUUCCAGUUCCCCAUCAUCAACGCAUUCCUCAUUGAAGAACUCACCCAUCUCAACCUCUAACCACCUGUCUACUCUAGCCUUUGGGAACUGAACAUCAUUAGGUGGCCGUCCCCGUGGUAGCAAAUAGGCAACUCUUUUACUACCUUCAGUGCCAACAACUCCAACAUUAAGUUUCACUGGAUAAAAUUGAAACCCGUAAACAUUACGUACUUUGUAUACAAGGUAUGCCUUGUAGUGCGUCAUGGCUGAAAGCAUGGAGAUACUAAUCCUUCCACGGAUUUCAAACCAGCAAACGUGAAGAAGCACUGCUACCUCGUCAAACCUAUUUUAACAACAAUGGAAAAUGAAUUGCCAAAGAGAAGUUCUCUUAUUCAAACACAGGUAUCCAUCAAAGAUGAAUAAGCAAGUAUUUUCUCUUAAAAGACUUUCAAUUAUUUUGAAUUUAAAAGAUGGAUAAGCAUCCUAUUGUUAUCAUUUAGACCCAACCAGCAUGGCAAUCAAGAGAGAAAAACCUAGCCCCACGCGUAGAAAUCCAUCUCCUAUAACCUGGGGGGCCACUCCGUAUAAUGGAGAGGUUCCUGGGUGACAGCAUGUAACAUUUCUUCCCACUCACUCUGUCCAGCCAAAAACUCUGUUUCAUCAAUACCAACUAAGUUAUAUGUAAAGAACAAAAGAAAUAAAAAUAGAUAUAAACAACACAUAGGAAUUGUUAAGAAAAAGAUUCAAGCAACAAUGGCAUAGUUCAUAAUUAAUAUGUCAAAAGCUUCUCCAAAGUACUUUCUAAGCUUCUUACUUCUGUUAGUUGCCCUUUUUUUUUUUUGGUGAAUUACGCAAAUCCCGAACAACAAACACGAUUAGAUAAAAUUAGACAUAUAAGGAAAAUAUUAGACAAAAUUUCCAUAAAAAUUAAAAUAAUAUAUCUUCAUAAUUCAAUUAUUUAAAUUUGUUCUUGUUUUAUCCCAAUACAGUUUUUGCCUUCAAAAAUCACAUAUCUUGUUAAUUUAAUUAUUUAAAUUUAUUUUUUGUUUUAUCCAAAUACACUUUUUGCCUUCAAAAAUUAAAAGAAAAAAGAACCACAAGAAUAAAUUAGUUGCUAUUUUUCCACUUAUAAGGGAAACAAACCAUAUUAUCAUCAAAGGCAAAUAAUAUAUUUCAAAAAGAAGCUUAAAAUUCAAAAUAGUAAUAAUGUUGGACAAAGGCAACAUGUGAUUUUAUGUUUCAAUUACUAUUUACUUAGAUUUUUCAUAGGUGGCUAUCCGCUCAAGCUUGAAGGCCUAUCUGAAAUUUAAGAGAGUUUGGGUAAAAAAUAUUAGGCUCGAAAAAUAAGUUUAGAAAAAAAAUUAGACCCAAUUAAAAAUGAGUCAAGCUCGGUCUUGAACAUUCAAGGUCUAAGUUCAACCCGACUCGACCUAUUUUUAAGUUUAUAAUAUUUUAUAUUAUGUUAUUUUUAUAAAUUAUCUAAUUUAAAACAUAUUAAAAAUAAUAAUGUUAAAAUGAGUAUAUAAAAAAUUUCAAUAAAUAAAAAAUUUAUAAAAUUAUUAAACAUUAAAAUAAUAUAAUAUAAAUAUUUUAAAAAAUUAAAAAUAAUAUAAGUAGGCCUAAAAUAGGCUUGGGUUAGUCUUUUGUAAACAAGUAGGUUUAAGCAAAAUUUUAAGCCCAUAUUUAAGGUCAGGGCGAACUUGGGCAAAUAUAAAAUAUGUUAAUAUCACGCAUAGACCCAAACCCAGCCUAUGAGCACCUCUAUAUUUACUGUAUAAUUUUACUUUUAGAAUAUGAAGCAUGUAUCUAAAUUUCAUUUUUGGGUUAAAAUUUUCAAAUUAUUAACUUCUGUCCUAAAUGUAAAUUAAAUUAUAUAAAAAUGCUAAGGAAUUUUUCAAUGCAAUUUAAAGAAGAAAAAACCUAAAGGAGAGGUAGAGAAAGAGAGGACGAAAUUACCUUCCGUCCACCCUCAAUGCGGACAGGAUUUCCGCCUAGACUAAGAUAAAUAUCUUUCUUGGAAGAGAAAGAGUCCAAUGUAGGAAUUAAAUCCUGGUAUUGACAUGGCAACAAGCUUUCCCAAGCAGUAUCCAAUUCAGCAGUCGAUAAUCUGUAAAUUUUAUUAUCCAUAAUUCAAUUGGUAUUCUAACAAAUAAUAAUUCAAUCAAAAAAAUAUAAACUCACGAAUCCAAGCCCAAAUUUGAGUCACAUAGAUUAGGCGUGACGGACCUGAUCUCAAUCCCCUGGAAAAUGAGAUCACCUUUCACGAUACCGCCCUCAAUCUCCAAUGCACUCAUUUCUAGUUCCCCAUCAUCAACGCAUCCCUCAUUGAAGAACUCACCCAUCUCAACCUCUAACCACCCGUCUACUCUAGCCUUUGGGAACUGAACAUCAUCACCGGGUAUAGGUUGUUCCUCUCCUAUCUGCCAAUAUGGCCAUCUCCGUCGUUCUUUUUUUGGUUGCAAAUAGGCACUUCUUUUACUACCUUCAGUGCCAACAACUCCAACACUAAGUUUCACUGGGAAAAAUUGAAGCCCACAAAAAUUACGUACUUUGCAUACAAGGUAAGCCUUGUAGUGCGUCAUGGGUGAAAGCAUGGAGAUACUAAUCCUUCCACGGAUUUCAAACCAGC
This 44118-nucleotide long non-coding RNA is filed under the name Gossypium barbadense (sea-island cotton). RNAcentral describes it as "long non-coding RNA (GBAR_LNC004770)". The record is from RNAcentral. Lineage: Eukaryota; Viridiplantae; Streptophyta; Magnoliopsida; Malvales; Malvaceae.